This 453-nucleotide ribosomal RNA is filed under the name uncultured bacterium. RNAcentral describes it as "bacterial SSU rRNA". It matches the Rfam family "Bacterial small subunit ribosomal RNA", at positions 917 to 1382 of the family's 1533-position model. The record is from RNAcentral.
GUCCCCGCACAAGCAGCGGAGCGUGUGGUUUAAUUCGUUGCUACACGAAGAACCUUACCUGGGUUUGACAUAGCAGUGGUAGGGAAGCGAAAGCGGACCGACCCUUCGGGGAGCUGUUACAGGUGUUGCAUGGCUGUCGUCAGCUCGUGUCGUGAGAUGUUCGGUUAAGUCCGCUAACGAGCGCAACCCGCGUUGUGUGUUACAAGUGUCACACAAUACCGCCGGUAUUAAGUCGGAGGAAGGUGCGGAUGACGUCAAGUCAGCAUGACCUUUAUAUCCAGGGCUACACACACGCUACAAUGGUCAGCACAAUAGGUUGCCAAGUCGUGAGACGGAGCCAAUCCUCCAAAGCUGGCCUCAGUUCAGAUUGUAGGCUGCAACCCGCCUGCAUGAAGUUGGAGUUGCUAGUAACCGCAGGUCAGCUAUACUGCGGUGAAUACGUUCCCGGGGAUU